GAUGAACGCUGGCGGCGUGCCUAAUACAUGCAAGUCGAGCGAAUGGAUUAAGAGCUUGCUCUUAUGAAGUUAGCGGCGGACGGGUGAGUAACACGUGGGUAACCUGCCCAUAAGACUGGGAUAACUCCGGGAAACCGGGGCUAAUACCGGAUAAUAUUUUGAACUGCAUGGUUCAAAAUUGAAAGGCGGCUUCGGCUGUCACUUAUUGAUGGACCCGCGUCGCAUUAGCUAGUUGGUGAGGUAACGGCUCACCAAGGCAACGAUGCGUAGCCGCACUGAGAGGGUGCUAGGCCACGCUGGGACUGAGACACGGCCCAGACUCCUACGGGAGGAAGAAGUAUGAAAUCUACCGCAGUGGACGAAAGUCUGACGAGGCAACGCCGCGUGAGUGAUGAAGGCUUUCGGGUAGUAAAACUCUGUUGUUAGGGAAGAACAAGUGCUAGUUGAAUAAGCUGGCACCUUGACGGUACCUAAGCAGAAAGCCACGGCUAACUACGUGCCAGCCGCCGCGGUAA
Molecule: ribosomal RNA, 515 nt
Filed under: uncultured bacterium
Lineage: Bacteria
Description: partial 16S ribosomal RNA
Rfam family: Bacterial small subunit ribosomal RNA
Source: RNAcentral